RNAcentral lists this ribosomal RNA (468 nucleotides) under uncultured bacterium. RNAcentral's name for it is "partial 16S ribosomal RNA". It matches the Rfam family "Bacterial small subunit ribosomal RNA", at positions 29 to 507 of the family's 1533-position model. The record is from RNAcentral.
UACGCACGCUGGCGGCGUGCUUAACACAUGCAAGUCGAACGGAAAGGCCCUGCUUUUGUGGGGUGCUCGAGUGGCGAACGGGUGAGUAACACGUGAGUAACCUGCCCUUGACUUUGGGAUAACUUCAGGAAACUGGGGCUAAUACCGGAUAGGAGCUCCUGCUGCAUGGUGGGGGUUGGAAAGUUUCGGCGGUUGGGGAUGGACUCGCGGCUUAUCAGCUUGUUGGUGGGGUAGUGGCUUACCAAGGCUUUGACGGGUAGCCGGCCUGAGAGGGUGACCGGCCACAUUGGGACUGAGAUACGGCCCAGACUCCUACGGGAGGCAGCAGUGGGGAAUAUUGCACAAUGGGCGGAAGCCUGAUGCAGCAACGCCGCGUGCGGGAUGACGGCCUUCGGUUUGUAAACCGCUUUCGCCUGUGACGAAGCGUGAGUGAUGGUAAUGGGUAAAGAAGCACCGGCUAACUACGUG